RNAcentral lists this ribosomal RNA (576 nucleotides) under uncultured bacterium. RNAcentral's name for it is "bacterial SSU rRNA". It matches the Rfam family "Bacterial small subunit ribosomal RNA", at positions 338 to 915 of the family's 1533-position model. The record is from RNAcentral.
CCUACGGGAGGCAGCAGUAAGGAAUAUUGGUCAAUGGGCGCAAGCCUGAACCAGCCAUGCCGCGUGCAGGAAGACGGCCCUACGGGUUGUAAACUGCUUUUGUACCGGAAUAAACCCUUUUACGUGUAAGAGGCUGAAUGUACGGUAAGAAUAAGGAUCGGCUAACUCCGUGCCAGCAGCCGCGGUAAUACGGAGGAUCCAAGCGUUAUCCGGAUUUAUUGGGUUUAAAGGGUGCGUAGGUGGCUUUUUAAGUCAGGGGUGAAAGACGGUAGCUUAACUAUCGCAGUGCCUUUGAUACUGAAGAGCUUGAAUGAACUAGAGGUAGGCGGAAUGUGACAAGUAGCGGUGAAAUGCAUAGAUAUGUCACAGAACACCAAUUGCGAAGGCAGCUUACUAUGGUUUUAUUGACACUGAGGCACGAAAGCGUGGGGAUCAAACAGGAUUAGAUACCCUGGUAGUCCACGCCCUAAACGAUGAAUACUCGAUGUUGGCGAUAUACGGUCAGCGUCUAAGCGAAAGCGUUAAGUAUUCCACCUGGGAGUACGCCGCAAGGGUGAAACGUCAAAGGAAUUGAGG